GACCAGUGACGUUCACCGCCGGACGAGGGAGCCGUACCCGGACGACGACAAGACGGCCACGAA
Molecule: non-coding RNA, 63 nt
Filed under: Corynebacterium variabile
Lineage: Bacteria; Bacillati; Actinomycetota; Actinomycetes; Mycobacteriales; Corynebacteriaceae
Source: RNAcentral